This 84-nucleotide transfer RNA is filed under the name Acidobacteriota bacterium. Its description in RNAcentral is "Acidobacteria bacterium (activated sludge metagenome) tRNA-Leu". It matches the Rfam family "tRNA". Rfam says of the family: Transfer RNA (tRNA) molecules are approximately 80 nucleotides in length. Lineage: Bacteria; Pseudomonadati; Acidobacteriota. The record is from RNAcentral.
GCUUGGGUGGCGGAAUAGGUAGACGCACAGGACUUAAAAUCCUGUGUCCUUCGGGGCGUGCGGGUUCGAUUCCCGCCCUAAGCA